RNAcentral lists this ribosomal RNA (516 nucleotides) under uncultured bacterium. RNAcentral describes it as "partial 16S ribosomal RNA". It matches the Rfam family "Bacterial small subunit ribosomal RNA", at positions 28 to 523 of the family's 1533-position model. The record is from RNAcentral.
GACGAACGCUGGCGGCGUGCCUAACACAUGCAAGUCGAACGGAGAUUUUAUUUAUGAAAUCUUAGUGGCGAACGGGUGAGUAACGCGUAGACAACCUGCCUUUUAGAUGGGGACAACACCGCGAAAGUGGUGCUAAUACCGAAUGUUGUAUUUUGGUCGCAUGAUUGAGAUACUAAAGAUGGCCUCUAUUUAUAAGCUAUCACUAAAAGAUGGGUCUGCGUCUGAUUAGCUAGUCGGUGAGGUAAUGGCUCACCAAGGCGACGAUCAGUAGCCCGUCUGAGAGGAUGAACGGCCACACAGGGACUGGGACACGGACCAGACUCCUACGGGAGGCAGCAGUGGGGAAUCUUCCGCAAUGGACGAAAGUCUGACGGAGCAACGCCGCGUGAGUGAAGAAGGUUUUCGGAUCGUAAAACUCUGUUUUCAGGGACGAAUGUGCGAUGUGUAAAUAAUGCAUUGUAAUGACGGUACCUGAGUAGAAAGCCACGGCUAACUACGUGCCAGCCGCCGCCGUAA